RNAcentral lists this long non-coding RNA (241 nucleotides) under Elaeis guineensis (African oil palm). Its description in RNAcentral is "long non-coding RNA (EGUI_LNC067132)". The record is from RNAcentral. Lineage: Eukaryota; Viridiplantae; Streptophyta; Magnoliopsida; Arecales; Arecaceae.
CAUCCUAAAGAGUUCCACACCCAAAAGAGUUUGAGUGCCUCUUCUUUGCUUGUUUCUAGCAUCUGAUAGCAAUACAUAGCAAGAAAAACUCUAGAGAAGAGGAAAAGAAGGAGAUCAAAAAGAAAGAUCAAACAUUGAUCGCGAUCCAAGCUUCGUUCAGAUUCAACUGGCUAAAUUUUGGAGAAUCAAAAUUUAGAUUAUAGAGAACUAUUCCAGACUGACCCUAGAUGGAUACUCAUAG